CAAACGGCCCUUUUUAGGGCCACCAAAUUCGGUGCAACUACUGUCU
Molecule: non-coding RNA, 46 nt
Organism: Trichuris muris
Lineage: Eukaryota; Metazoa; Nematoda; Enoplea; Trichinellida; Trichuridae
Source: Rfam